Molecule: long non-coding RNA, 508 nt
Filed under: Elaeis guineensis (African oil palm)
Lineage: Eukaryota; Viridiplantae; Streptophyta; Magnoliopsida; Arecales; Arecaceae
Description: long non-coding RNA (EGUI_LNC056021)
Source: RNAcentral
GUCAACGGUGCACGUUGCAUUCACAAGAACUUAAUUAAUAGUUGUGUGCUUUUGAUUAGUUUGGGAACAAACUUUUACUUAUUUUUUCUUAUUUCAUCUAAGUGUAACUUAAGGAAAAACUUAUUUGAAAGGGGUGGAGGGCCGUUGCCUCCUUCACCAAAUAUUAGGGGGUGCCACAUCAUAGAUGUAUAGCGAAUAUUUAAAAAUAUGGGUGAUGGGGAUGGUAUAAACAUUGGAUUUGUUUAUCAGUUACAAUUAUUCUAAAGACAAGAUGGAUUGGAGGGUGCAAUUAUUUAUUUUUCAUUAUAUGGUGGUCAAAGAUACAAGUAAACAUGAAAGGUGGCCUAUGAUGUUAACCGGCUAUUUUGAACCCUUUUUUUAUACAUUUUUUUUUCUUUGUUUACAUAAAAGUUAUUCUUAACAAAUAAUUAUGUGACACCCUGAAUUGAAAAUGUGGUGACCAAAAGAAUUUGCAUUCGCAUUUAGCAUUUAAUUAUAUAUAGAGCAU